RNAcentral lists this ribosomal RNA (365 nucleotides) under Microbacterium hydrocarbonoxydans. Its description in RNAcentral is "bacterial SSU rRNA". It matches the Rfam family "Bacterial small subunit ribosomal RNA", at positions 89 to 455 of the family's 1533-position model. Lineage: Bacteria; Bacillati; Actinomycetota; Actinomycetes; Micrococcales; Microbacteriaceae. The record is from RNAcentral.
GGAUCAGUGGCGAACGGGUGAGUAACACGUGAGCAACCUGCCCCUGACUCUGGGAUAAGCGCUGGAAACGGCGUCUAAUACUGGAUACGAACCACGAAGGCAUCUUCAGUGGUUGGAAAGAAUUUCGGUUGGGGAUGGGCUCGCGGCCUAUCAGCUUGUUGGUGAGGUAAUGGCUCACCAAGGCGUCGACGGGUAGCCGGCCUGAGAGGGUGACCGGCCACACUGGGACUGAGACACGGCCCAGACUCCUACGGGAGGCAGCAGUGGGGAAUAUUGCACAAUGGGCGCAAGCCUGAUGCAGCAACGCCGCGUGAGGGAUGACGGCCUUCGGGUUGUAAACCUCUUUUAGCAGGGAAGAAGCGAAA